GCAAUAUUUUUUUAGAACAUAUUGACAAUUACAUCAAAGUGGGUGUUUAAGAAGGAAGGAUGUGAAAUGUUAUAGGAUGAAACACCUUUUCAAAGGAAUUUAUUGGUGUAUAAACUUGACCAAUUUACUCACAAAUUUCGGACUUUUAUGAUAUGUUUGCGGGUGACUUGGUCCAGUUAACACACCAUUAAAUUCCUUUAAAAAGGUGUUUAAUCCUUAUAAUUCUUUUAAAUUGGAGAUAGGAAAUAUAUUAUUUCACACUCGCUACCUCUAUUACACAUAAAUUGUAUAUUUAUGUCAUUGAAUAUGCCUGGCGCAUGAAUAUAUUUGUUGGUUAACCCAAAAACAUGUACUCAAUGAAAUUUGCUAUCUGAUAAAAAAUUAAACUGCAAAAACUCUAAUUAUCAUUGAAACGAAUGUUUUUGUGUAUUAUUUUAUUUAACGAUUAACUUCCAUUGAAAAUAAAAAAAAAGAAUGUCUUUGUUACUAUUGCUGCCAUCUUGUUUACAUUGGUUAUGAAAAGAAGUUCAGUCAACGUCGUCUUUCGAAAAAUGACCAACGUUAAGAUCAACUAACGGAAGUCCUCUCAACCAAUCAUAUCAACAUAUUCCCUAAUAUGCAAAUCCUAUAAGAAUUAUUAAAUUGUAACAAAAAAAGGAGGCUAAUUGCCCUGCAAAUUGUCACAUAAAAGUUGUGGCAAAAUGCAGACACAGCCUACUGUUAUUAAAGACAAAUCAUAAGAUUUUGUUAAGAAUUUAUUCUCAGGCCACAUUUUUAUUUUAAUUCUUAUCCAAUUUAUCUCUUUUUCUUUUUUGUUAAUUGAUACCUUAUAUACAAGGACUGUGAUGGCUUUCUUUGUACAUAGUUCUAUGCAUCCCCAAUAUUAAAUUUCAGAUUCUUUAUACACCUUAAAGGGGCACUAGCUGUCAAAUUCAUGUUCACCAAAUUCUCAUAUUUUAUCUAUAACAUUUAAUCCAAACUAUGAAAUGUAUGUUUUUUGAUUGAGUUAAGCCUUCCAAUUGAUAUUUUAUCGUGUUUUUCUAUGUUUUUUUAUGUUAUACUAUUGUUUCAGAAAAAGGGAGAAGGUUUGGUACUGUUAAAACGUUUAAUCCCACUGCAAGUGUUUGCACCUGUCCUGAGUCAGGAAGCUGAUGUACAGUAGUUGUUGUUUAUUUAUGUAAUUUAUUAGUGUUUCUCGUUUUUUGUUUUUUAAUAUAGAUUAGACUGUUGGUUUUCCUGUUUGAAUGGAUUAACACUAGUAAUUUUGGGGCCCUUUAUAGCUUGUUGUUCGGUGCGAGCCAAGGCUCCGUGUUGAAGGCAGUACAUUGACCUAUAAUGGUUUACUUUUAUAAAUUGUUAUUUUGAUGGAGAGUUGUCUCAUUGGCACUCACUCCACAUCUUCCUAUAUCUAUGAAAGUCUAGAAUAAAGAAUUAACAGCGCACCGGCAUGAAAAUAUGUAGCUUCGUUUCGUGCGUAAUUUAGUCAAGACACCAUCUUAUUAUUUAUUGAGUUGACCUCUUAAGUCAUUUGAUGACCAUAUAAGCGAUGUAAAAAUAAAUAAAGAUAUAAAUAGAUUAGCAAACUCGUGCUGUUGGAUUAUUCUAAGUCUAUUUAAUUUCAUAUUAUAGAUGAAAAAUAAAUGUUUAUC
RNAcentral lists this long non-coding RNA (1649 nucleotides) under Mytilus galloprovincialis (Mediterranean mussel). The record is from RNAcentral. Lineage: Eukaryota; Metazoa; Mollusca; Bivalvia; Mytilida; Mytilidae.